This 178-nucleotide non-coding RNA is filed under the name Sulfuriferula sp. AH1. RNAcentral's name for it is "6S / SsrS RNA". It matches the Rfam family "6S / SsrS RNA". Rfam says of the family: E. coli 6S RNA was the first non coding RNA to be sequenced, but its function was unknown until recently. The record is from Rfam by way of RNAcentral. Lineage: Bacteria; Pseudomonadati; Pseudomonadota; Betaproteobacteria; Nitrosomonadales; Sulfuricellaceae.
UGCUCCCUGCGGUGUGCGCCUAGACUGCGAAUUCUUUGAACCAAUAAAUUUGCCAAGGUUGCAGCUAUAGAUGAGUGCUGGUGUGCGCGUUACCCGUUAAUGUGCCUGAUGCGCUUGCGCUGUGACCCCUUGAACCCUAGGUUCAAGAUAGCGGUCUGACGGCAUUGGCGGGGGGCAC